GAUGAACGCUGGCGGCGUGCCUAAUACAUGCAAGUUGAGCGCUAAAGGCUGGUCUUUGUACCAACUGGAUGAGCAGCGAACGGGUGAGUAACGCGGGGGGAAUCUGCCUUUGAGCGGGGGACAACAUUUGGAAACGAAUGCUAAUACCGCAUAACAACUUUAAACACAAGUUUUAGGUUUGAAAGAUGCAAUGGGAUCACUCAACGAUGAUUCAGCGUUGUAUUAGGUAGUUGGUGAGGUAAAGGCUCACCAAGGCGGGGAUACAUAGCCGACCGGAGAGGGUGAUCGGCGACAUUGGGACGGGGACGCGGCCCAUACUCCUACGGGACGGAGCAGUAGGGUAUGUUCGGCAAUGGAGGAAAGUCUGACCGAGCGGCGCCGCGGCAGUGAAGAAGAUUUUCGGAUCGUAAAACUCUGUUGGUGGUUAAGAACGUUGGUGAGAGUGGAAAGAGCAUCAAGUGACGGUAACUACCCAGGAAGAAACGGCUAACUACGUG
RNAcentral lists this ribosomal RNA (497 nucleotides) under uncultured bacterium. RNAcentral describes it as "partial 16S ribosomal RNA". It matches the Rfam family "Bacterial small subunit ribosomal RNA", at positions 28 to 507 of the family's 1533-position model. The record is from RNAcentral.